RNAcentral lists this long non-coding RNA (1966 nucleotides) under Homo sapiens (human). RNAcentral's name for it is "HSALNT0236157". Lineage: Eukaryota; Metazoa; Chordata; Mammalia; Primates; Hominidae. The record is from RNAcentral.
CAGGCCAAGGCCCAGGGAGGCUCCUGGGGCGACAGCUGCCACCCAGCCCCCUGGCAUCCCUGCCCCCUUCCCAUGGCCCUAACACGUGGGGACCCGACUCUGGGAGAAGCAGCUGCAGGGAAAGCCUGAUAAAUCGAGGAAACCAGAAGGCCCCUGCCCACCUCUCAUCACCUCUAGCGCCAGUGGGGGAGUGGAGAGCCCCCUCUCUACACCCUACUCCUACACCCAAGGACCCAAAGAGGACCCCCACAGCAAGCAGGCUCACAGACCCCCAGCUACCGGGAAAACCGCGUGCACGCCUGCGAAUUCCAGGACCCUGGAGAAGGACGCGGCGGCUGGCACCCGCCCUGCCCCUCCCCCGCCUUCCCAAAAGUCCGCGGAGAACUUACACGACCAGGGAGGGCAUUUCGAUUCCACCCUGCCCCAGUCAUGACUGCGAAUUUUAGGGGCUGAAGUCAUCUUGGCUCUCCUGCCAGCCUCCUCCUCAGCCCCCUGCUAACACAGCACUCCAAUGCUCACUAAAGCAGCCGCCACCGAGUGACAUCACCCCUAAGAAGAUGCCCGUCACCCUGACAGUGCUGCUCCAGGGUAAGGUAUAGAGGGGAGGUGGACUUUCAGAGUCUCACAGGAGUCGCCUGAAUUGCAUCUGCCCUGGAGAAGAGCUUGCCCAUCAACCCCAGCACAGGACAACAUGAGUGUCACAGAGAUGGUGCCACAUUGAGUCUCUCCACUCCCCAAGGGAGUUCCAGGUUUUGUUCCAGGGCCUGUUUGUUCUUUGAAGGGGUCUUUAGAGACCAGGACCUUCAUUUUUCUGGGGUGAUUAGGGAAGGGGUGAGUAAGUGAGGCCCCAGAGCAGAGCCUACCACUAGCCCCAGUCCCAGGCACUCUGCUGUUCUUGAUUCAUCAAACCUUUGUGUGCUACUGGAGAGGCUGAACUGCCAGGCACUUGCCCUCCAUGUCCUGUCUUAACUGCCACUGUGGCUUUAGAGAAGGGCUCUGCUCUGACUUCCCCUCCAGUACAGGCAGCCCCUCCUGAACUCCCCACGGCACAGCCAAGACCAGGCUGCAACUUCUGACGGAACUGUCCUGAAGCUUUAGAGACCACAUGAGGGGCAUCUAGAGGGGACAGGGCUCUCGGGGACAGGACCAGGCCCAUCCUUACGGGGUCCCUUACUGCACAGCUUCAGAGACUAGAUCCAGACCCACUGGUGAGGCAUGACAUCAAAUUACUGGGCGACAACCAGCAUUAAAAAAAAUAGGUUGGGCACAGGCGCUCAUGCCUGUAAUCCCAGCACUUUGGGAGGCUGAAGCAGCAGAACCGCUUGAGCCCAGGAGUUCAAGACCAGCCUGGGCAACAUAGCAAAACUUUGUCUAUAUAUAUAGACAGACACACACACACACACACACACACACACACACACACACACACCUAUAUAUAUAACUAGCCAAGUCAGGCACAGUGGCUCAUGCCUUUAAUCCUAGCACCUUGGGAGGCCAAGGCAGGAGGAUUGCUUGAGCCCAGGAGUUCAAGACCAGCCUGGGCAACAUAGGGAGACCCCUUCUAUACAAAAAAUAAAAAAUUAGCUGGAUGUGGUCGUGCACACUUGUGGUCCCAGCUGCUUGGGAGGCUGAGGCAGGAGGAUCACCUGAGCCCAGGUGGGUUGAGGCUGCAGUGAGCCAUUAUUGCACCACUGCACUCCAGCCUGUAUGAUAGAGACCCUGCUUCUUAAAAAAAAUUGACCAGGUGGGAUGGUGCACACCUGUAGUCCUAGCUGCUCAGGAGGCUGAGGUAGGAGGAUCUCUUGAGCCUGGGAGUUCAACACUGUAGUGAGCAAUUAUCGCAAAUAAAUAGAAAAUAUUGCCGGAUGCAGUGGCUCACACCUGUCAUCCCAGCAGUUUGGGAGGCCGAGGCAGGUAGAUCACGAGGUCAAAAGUUUGAGACCAGCCUAACCAACAUGGUGAAACC